GUGAAUCAUCGAAUUUUUGAACGCAAAUUGCACUCUCCGGUUUUCCGGGGGAGUAUGCCUGUUUGAGGGUCAGCAUAAAAACAACCGACAUAGUUCCUGUUUUAUGGUGACUUUCGUCGGAUCUGGGUUAUAUUAAAUCUCGGUUUAAGCGAAUUAAUAAUUUUUUUUACGAUUCUAAGAAUGUUUCUAAGAUUUUUCUUGUCCGUUUAAGGUAUCGAAUGUCUUAUUAGAAGUGGUCGUCAUAUCGGAUCGUGU
RNAcentral lists this unclassified non-coding RNA (255 nucleotides) under Glomeraceae sp. Its description in RNAcentral is "partial contains 5.8S ribosomal RNA and internal transcribed spacer 2". The stretch from base 1 to 72 matches the Rfam family "5.8S ribosomal RNA", at positions 84 to 154 of the family's 154-position model. The record is from RNAcentral. Lineage: Eukaryota; Fungi; Glomeromycota; Glomeromycetes; Glomerales; Glomeraceae.